Molecule: ribosomal RNA, 440 nt
Filed under: uncultured bacterium
Lineage: Bacteria
Description: partial 16S ribosomal RNA
Rfam family: Bacterial small subunit ribosomal RNA
Source: RNAcentral
CCUACGGGUGGCAGCAGUGGGGAAUAUUGCACAAUGGGGGAAACCCUGAUGCAGCGACGCCGCGUGAGUGAAGAAGUAUUUCGGUAUGUAAAGCUCUAUCAGCAGGGAAGAAAAUGACAGUAACUGACGAAGAAGCCCCGGCUAACUACGUGCCAGCAGCCGCGGUAAUACGGAGGGGGCAAGCGUUAUCCGGAUUUACUGGGUGUAAAGGGAGCGUAGACGGUGAUGUAAGUCUGGUGUGAAAGCCUGGGGCUUAACCCCGGGACUGCAUUGGAAACUGUGUAACUGGAGUGCAGGAGGGGCAGGCGGAAUUCCUGGUGUAGCGGUGAAAUGCGUAGAGAUCAGGAGGAACACCGGCGGCGAAGGCGGCCUGCUGGACUGUAACUGACGUUGAGGCUCGAAAGCGUGGGGAGCAAACAGGAUUAGAUACCCUAGUAGUC